RNAcentral lists this transfer RNA (85 nucleotides) under Arabidopsis lyrata subsp. lyrata. RNAcentral's name for it is "tRNA tRNA-Tyr". It matches the Rfam family "tRNA". Rfam says of the family: Transfer RNA (tRNA) molecules are approximately 80 nucleotides in length. Their secondary structure includes four short double-helical elements and three loops (D, anti-codon, and T loops). Lineage: Eukaryota; Viridiplantae; Streptophyta; Magnoliopsida; Brassicales; Brassicaceae. The record is from Rfam by way of RNAcentral.
CCGACCUUAGCUCAGUUGGUAGAGCGGAGGACUGUAGUUGACGCAGAUUAUCCUUAGGUCACUGGUUCGAAUCCGGUAGGUCCGA